This 1590-nucleotide ribosomal RNA is filed under the name Antrostomus carolinensis (chuck-will's-widow). RNAcentral describes it as "16S ribosomal RNA". The stretch from base 88 to 1510 matches the Rfam family "Bacterial large subunit ribosomal RNA". Lineage: Eukaryota; Metazoa; Chordata; Aves; Caprimulgiformes; Caprimulgidae. The record is from RNAcentral.
AGCCAAACUCUAGCCCAACCAUACUUAUAGCACAAACAACCAAAAUCUACUACCAUUAAACCAAAACUAAAACAUUCUACAACCUUAGUAUAGGCGAUAGAAAAGAUCACCUGGAGCAAUAGAGACUUGUACCGCAAGGGAAAGCUGAAAUAACAAUGAAACCCUAAGCAAAAAACAGCAAAGAUAAACCCUUGUACCUUUUGCAUCAUGAUGUAGCAAGCAUAAUCAAGCAAAAUGAACUUAAGCUUGGAAUCCCGAAACCCACGCGAGCUACUUACAAGCAGCUAUUACAUGAGCGAACCCGUCUCUGUCGCAAAAGAGUGGGAUGACUUGUUAGUAGAGGUGAAAAGCCUAUCGAGCUGGGUGAUAGCUGGUUGCCCGUGAAACGAAUCUAAGUUCCCCCAUGAUUAUUCUCUACGGAACCUCACCCAGCCCCCGUGUAGUUAAUCAAGAGUAAUUUAAAGGGGGUACAGCCCCUUUAAAAAAGGAUACAACCUUCACUAGCGGAUAACUUCUUCCCCUUAACUAAAACUGUAGGCCUUCAAGCAGCCACCAACAAAGAAUGCGUCACAGCUCCAAACAAUAAAAAUUUCAAAUCAACACGACUCCCUUACCAAUAACAGGCUAACCUAUAAUUAUAGGAGAAUCUAUGCUAGAAUGAGUAACUAGGGGCUUCCCUCUCAAGCGCAAGCUUACAUUACCAAAUUAUUAACAGACCCACCAUAAAUACUGCAAAUCCAACAAGACAGAUAUUAAACUCCCUGUUAACCCAACCCAGGAGCGCCCAACUAGAAAGAUUAAAAUCUGCAAAAGGAACUAGGCAAAUCCAAGGCCCGACUGUUUACCAAAAACAUAGCCUUCAGCCCACCAAGUAUUGAAGGUGAUGCCUGCCCAGUGACGUCAUGUUUAACGGCCGCGGUAUCCUAACCGUGCAAAGGUAGCGCAAUCAAUUGUCUCAUAAAUCGGGACUUGUAUGAAUGGCUAAACGAGGUCUUGACUGUCUCUUGCAGACAAUCAGUGAAAUUGAUCUUCCUGUGCAAAAGCAGGAAUACGCACACAAGACGAGAAGACCCUGUGGAACUUAAAAAUCCGCGGCCACCCCUUACAAACCUUAACCUACUAGGCCUACCAUCCAAAGCACUGGCCCGCAUUUUUUGGUUGGGGCGACCUUGGAGAAAAGCAGAACCUCCAAAAAUAAGACCACACCUCUUAACUAAGAGCAACCUCUCACCGUACUAACAGUUACCAGACCCAAUAAAAUUGAGCAAUGGACCAAGCUACCCCAGGGAUAACAGCGCAAUCUCCUUCAAGAGCCCAUAUCGACAAGGAGGUUUACGACCUCGAUGUUGGAUCAGGACAUCCUAAUGGUGCAGACGCUAUUAAGGGUUCGUUUGUUCAACGAUUAAUAGUCCUACGUGAUCUGAGUUCAGACCGGAGUAAUCCAGGUCGGUUUCUAUCUGUGAGACACUUUCCCUAGUACGAAAGGACCGGAAAAGUGAGGCCAAUACUAAAAGCACGCCUCCCCUGCAAGUAAUGAAUCCAACUAAAUUGCCAAAAGGACCACCACUCAUCCGCCCUAGAAAACGGCCG